AGAAUGAACGCUAGCGAUAUGCUUAACACAUGCAAGUUGAACGUUGUUUUCGAAUCAGAAUGAGAACAAAGUAGCGAACGGGUGCGUAACACGUGGGAAUCUGCCGAACAGUUUGGGCCAAAUCCCGAAUGAAUAAAAGCUAAAAAGCGCUGUUUGAUGAGCCCACGUAGUAUUAGGUAGUUGGUUAGGUAAAAGCUGACCAAGCCUACGAUGCUUAGCUGGUCUUUUCGGAUGAUCAGCCACACUGGGACUGAGACACGGCCCAGACUCCUACGGGAGGCAGCAGUGGGGAAUCUUGGACAAUGGGCGAAGGCCUGAUCCGGCAAUAUGGCGUGAGUGAAGAAGGGCAACGCAGCUUGUAAAGCUCUUUCAUCGAGUGUGCGAUUGUGACAAGACUCGAAUAAGAACGCCCGGCUAACUCCGCGCCAGCAGCCGC
Molecule: ribosomal RNA, 436 nt
Filed under: uncultured bacterium
Lineage: Bacteria
Description: SSU rRNA
Rfam family: Bacterial small subunit ribosomal RNA
Source: RNAcentral